This is a long non-coding RNA of Camelina sativa (false flax), 683 nucleotides long. RefSeq lists it as uncharacterized. Lineage: Eukaryota; Viridiplantae; Streptophyta; Magnoliopsida; Brassicales; Brassicaceae. The record is from RefSeq and is a predicted model, not a curated record.
CCAUCCUCCUCCCCCUCAGCCUUGUCCACCUCCCAGUUCCCCAACCUUUUACCCCCGGAUCACUAAAACCCUUGCUUACCUCCAAUUCAAACCUACAAGUUUCUCUUGACUAUGAAACUCGGAUUGAAGAUUCAGGUAAACACGCUAAAUGCCUCCGAUUGAAUCGAAUUGAAGAUUCAAGUUUCAACAAGCCUAAGUGGAAACGUCGCUCACUCUAGGUCUAGCUUGAUGCCAUCCAUAUUCAAUGCUAGUGCCGUUGUUUGCUGGUUCAACCAAGGUCACAUACGGACUUUCACAGAUCAUGGAUCAACUCGGGAAAGAAGAAUAAGUACUCUACUUCACCAGCUGAAGAAGCCAGGUUUGGCGUAACUGUUGACUUGGAUGAGAUCAGCUGUUUGCACAUACUCAAAAUCGAAGUUCACAACUACAUCAUGCCAGGGAAGGACAAUUUCUCAGGCCAGACAUAUAUGUUUGCCUGUGACCAAGCUGAGACGGCAUACGUUCUAUUCCACUGUAUGAUCACUAAGGCGAGAGACUAGUUGCAGUUACACUUCUCAUGCGGUUUAGUUUGUUUGUAACAUAGCUUCUUUCUUCUUAUUAUCAUCAUCUAGAGAGUUUGUAUAGUUUAGAGACUUCCAAAAUAUGUUAUCAACAAAUUGAUGUCUGUUAAGUGAAUAUUAUUG